RNAcentral lists this ribosomal RNA (876 nucleotides) under Triticum aestivum (bread wheat). RNAcentral describes it as "partial small subunit ribosomal RNA". Lineage: Eukaryota; Viridiplantae; Streptophyta; Magnoliopsida; Poales; Poaceae. The record is from RNAcentral.
AUGAAGGAUUUAGGAGUGGCUGAUGUCAUUCUGAACAUCAAGUUGUUGAGAGACGAUGAUGGUGGGAUUACAUUGCUUCAAUCUCACUAUGUGGAAAAGAUCUUGAGUCACUUUGGCUAUAGUGACUGCAAGCCCUCUCCAACACCAUAUGAUGCUAGCGUGCUGCUUCGAAACAAUCGAAGAAUUGCUAAAGAUCAAUUGAAGUAUUCUCAGAUUAUUGGCUCGCUUAUGUACUUAGCCAGUGCUACAAGACCUGACAUCUCUUUUGCUGUUAGCAAACUGAGUCGGUUUGUUUCAAAACCAGGAGAUGUGCAUUGGAAAGCUCUAGAGAGAGUUUUGCGUCAUUUGAAAGGCACUGCGAAUUAUGGAAUUCACUACACUUGGCACCCAAAGGUGCUUGAAGGGUAUAGUGACUCAUACUGGAUCUCAGAUGCUGAUGAGAUAAAGGCCACAAGCGGUUAUGUAUUCACUCAUGGAGGUGGCGCUAUUUCUUGGAAGUCUUGCAAGCAUACCAUCUUAACGAGGUCAACAAUAGAAGCAGAACUCACAGCACUAGAUACAACUAUGGUUGAAGCAGAUUGGCUUCGUCGGCUUUUGAAUGACUUGCCGGUUGUUGAGAAACCUGUACCGGGUGUCCUUAUGAACUGCGACAAUCAAACUGUGAUCACGAAAGUGAGCAGCUCAAAGGAUAACAUGAAGUCAUCCAGACACGUUCAGAGAAGGUUAAAGUCUGUCAGAAAAAUGAAAAACUCCGGAGUUAUUGCAUUGGAUUAUAUCCAAACGUCUAAAAACCUAGCAGAUCCUUUUACUAAGGGUCUAUCACGUAAUGUGAUAGAUAAUGCAUCGAGGGAGAUGGGUAUGAGACCCACAAUAUGA